This is a long non-coding RNA of Bombus huntii, 563 nucleotides long. RefSeq lists it as uncharacterized. The transcript is spliced from 3 exons. The record is from RefSeq and is a predicted model, not a curated record. Lineage: Eukaryota; Metazoa; Arthropoda; Insecta; Hymenoptera; Apidae.
GGCAGACUUUGCCUCCCUUAUAAGUUCCUCGUCAAUUUCUUCGCUGGGCCUUGUAGCAGGGUAAAUCGGAAGCUGUUGUUGACCAGUGGAAGGAAUAGUCACGGCAUCGGUCCUGCGACAAACAAGCAAACGUAACGGAUAAGAAGUUGUUAGGAAAAGCUUCUCCAGGUGAUCCAUAGUAACGCCUUUGAAGCUGUACACGCCGAGAGUCUUGAACAGAUGUUUCACCGGCGUCAUACUGUAACAAGCUGCUAGUGGUGUUCUCGGAUAAUGUACCACGAAGGCCAGACACAUUUCCUGAGAUGCCGCGUAUCCUCCCAAAGUAGGUUUCGUCCUGUCCAACGUACCGUAAACACACUCGGCCAGCAAUUCGUCUCCUGGAAGGACUUUCACCUCCUUCUCCAGAACUCAAACGACGACCGGCCAAGUGAGAAUGCAACACCACCGAAACGAUGUUCACUCCGCCUUCAGGGAACAUCUGUAUGUUUAAAAGUUUAAAAGUUUAAAAGUUUAAAAGUUUAGAAACGAACGGAUGGAAGAAGCGGGUUGCAGUUGUCGAAAGA